UCAAGCGAGCCAACCCGUCG
Molecule: microRNA, 20 nt
Filed under: Lotus japonicus
Lineage: Eukaryota; Viridiplantae; Streptophyta; Magnoliopsida; Fabales; Fabaceae
Description: lja-miR11067-3p
Source: miRBase by way of RNAcentral